GUUAACACGUCAAAUAAAUCUGAUCAUCAAAUUAAUUUUUUUUUUUGCUGUGUCAGUCACGAGAAGGAUCCUAUUGUCUCAGCUAUUACAUCUUCGGUACUCACAUAAAUCUCUGCUUCUCCUUUCUCACUCCUCCCUCUUCUUUUUCAAUGUCAAUGACUUACACAGCCUCAUCACACCUGUGAUCACCACCAUAACCCAACUAAUGCCUUCUCGAUGGAAGGGAUCGAUCGGGUUGGCAUUAAAAUCACCUCUAACUUGAAUUGACAACUGAAACUCGGACGAAACUAAACCAGUUACGCUUACUAAUUAAACUACAACCCAAACAACUAAAAAUGCUUUGAAUUACUAAAGCGGGGUGGGUGCCAGCCGAGAAGUGGUCAGAGUCAGUCCCCGGCCCUGCCGUGCCGUCCUAUACUUGUACCACCUGUGAGUCUGUGACCCUAAGGCCUUUCUCUAUUCUGAUACACCUAUUUCUCUAGCCUUCCUAGAUAUCUACUUCUCUCUUAGCUGUCGAUGCUUCUUUUAAUAAUUCACUGUUCCGCGAGGUGGGUUUUUGUCUUUAUGAUGCUCUUUUCUUCUAACUUGUUAACAUCUGUCCCUUUCUCACCGUAUAUUUAUUUACGCGAGCCCCCUGGUCCGGGAGUUCUGGGGCUUCCUUCUCUUCCAUUGCCUGGUUUUGGUUUUGCCCUUUAUUGUCUUUCUAUUUCUUUUAUCCUUCCUGUGCUGGUUUCUUGAUUCAUGUUCUUGUUUUUCUUUAAUCUUCUCUCUGCUGCUUUUUUUCUUUUCGUUUUGGAGCUUUUUCUUUCUUCCUUCCUUCAUCCAAGACGGUGAUUAAAGUUUUUCUAUUCUAGCCUAUGGUGUUCUUCUCAAGUCGUCCUCAACUGGAAAGGAAGAAAGAGCAUUUUCUAGCUAGUUAGGUUCAACAUCUGAAUCUCUUCUUCCUUGGAGACAACAGCAGAGUAGAGUUCACAAAGGAAAAGGUGAAGCUGCCAGCAUGAUCUAGCUUUGGUUAGAGCGACAGAGAGAGCUGCUAACCCUAGCUAGGUCAUGCUCUGACAGCCUCACUCCUUCCUAUUUGGGGACCCAAUAGAUUCCAAACAUCCUUCAAUCUCUUUGGAAAGUGAUAACAAGUCACUUUUUGAAAUGAAACUUUGGAGAUGAGGAUCGUGACUUUGAAUGCAUCCAAUGGCUCCAUCUGAGCAUGCCCACCAAAAGGAUCAAAACAAGUUGAAAGAAACAGAAUGUCAAAAUCAAGAGCUAACUUUAUCAGAUUUUAUAUCAUUUUCUUAAUCCUGCUUUAUCAGGUCCUUUCACUUUACUGAUUAUGACAACUAAACGUUGCUUAAUCCAAACAUUACUUUUAAUUAGACCCAUCAU
Molecule: long non-coding RNA, 1380 nt
Organism: Manihot esculenta (cassava)
Lineage: Eukaryota; Viridiplantae; Streptophyta; Magnoliopsida; Malpighiales; Euphorbiaceae
Exons: 2
Source: RefSeq, a predicted model, not a curated record